CUAGUACUCCCUCCGUCCAGAAAUACUUGUCGGAUAAAUGGAUACAAAUGGAUGUAUCUAGAACUAAAAUACAUCUAGAUUCGUCCAUUCCUCAGACAAGUAUUUCCGGAUGAAGGGAGUAGCUA
Triticum aestivum (bread wheat) is the source of this 125-nucleotide non-coding RNA. NCBI's taxonomy places the organism in Eukaryota, Viridiplantae, Streptophyta, Magnoliopsida, Poales, Poaceae. The record is from Rfam.